RNAcentral lists this ribosomal RNA (320 nucleotides) under uncultured Prevotella sp. RNAcentral's name for it is "partial 16S ribosomal RNA". Lineage: Bacteria; Pseudomonadati; Bacteroidota; Bacteroidia; Bacteroidales; Prevotellaceae. The record is from RNAcentral.
GGAGUUUGGUCCGUGUCUCAGUACCAAUGUGGGGGACCUUCCUCUCAGAACCCCUACUGAUCGAUGGCUCGGUGGGCCGUUACCCCGCCGACUACCUAAUCAGACGCAUCCCCAUCCCAUAGCGGUAAACCUUUGCUCCUCGUCAGAUGCCAUCAAAGGAGAACAUAGGGCAUUAAUCCGACUUUCGCCGGGCUAUUCCCUACUGUGGGCCAGGUUGGAUACGCGUUACUCACCCGUGCGCCGGUCGCCAGCAACAAUAGCAAGCUAUCGUCCUGCUGCCCCUCGACUUGCAUGUGUUAAGCCUGUAGCUAGCGUUCAUC